GGGAAUACGCAGGAAGCGGAGGGGACGAGUAAAUAAGUUUGAGUCGGGAGCAUAAUAAUACGACGCUGCUAAAACCUUCCAGACAAGACAUUUGAGUAAGUGUGCAAAACGCUGCACGGCAACCGAAGCGGCCGAGAGGCGAGUGACUAUAAGAAGCAUCUUUUCAGCUCUGGUCGUGCUUGUCUGUUGGAGGAGAGAGAAGUGUCAUGAGGACUUCCCUGCAUCUAGCGUUGUUGCUGGCCGUAGGCCUCUUGCUCUCGGCCCUCCUCUCGCCGAGCCAAUGUUGUGGUCCUAUCUGUAAAAUGCCGUGCCAUGUUACAUUCGCCUAUACAAAUGGAUCAAGAAGAUCAGGUGGAUUAAGUGGAGCAGGUGGAUCAAGUUGGCCAAGUGGAUCAUUAGGAUCGUCUGGUUUGGCUGCUUUUGGCUCUUCUGGUUAAUAUUUUGCAUAAAUAGCGCCGAGAGCGACGAUCAUCGCCAGCCAACUCCGCGGCACAGAUCCGAGAAAAUUUGCCCCACAUGGAACGCCUUCUGCAACCCUCCGCAAGACUGCAACAGAGCUAGAAGGAAGACUCUUCCCCGGGAAUCAGUUCGGACGCAACGCUUCGAGUGACCUGAUUCCGUGGUUGUAGCAGAUUCUGCAAUGCUAACUAACAAUAGUGCUUAAUAGGUGAGGUGUUGGUCCUUCAUAAACGUAAGGCAAAAUAUCAGAAUGACAUCCUCAAUAAAUGUGAUGCGUGAUGAAUGGCUUCCUAAACAUGUUUCUAAAAAAAGUAUGAAGGCAUUUUCACGAUAUUGAGAAAGAGAACAGAAUGUCAUGCUCUGCUCAAUUCGGCUUUGUCGAAAAUCUUUCCUCGAUUAUAGAAAAGAUUUGUAAAAGUGAAGCAAAACUAAUCGUUGUGAUGUAUAAUGAUAUUUUCAAUUGUAAUUUAUUGUUAUUGCCAUCUCAUAGUUACAAAUAAAUAAAGCAUAAAACA
RNAcentral lists this long non-coding RNA (974 nucleotides) under Penaeus japonicus. RNAcentral describes it as "uncharacterized LOC122244583". The record is from RNAcentral. Lineage: Eukaryota; Metazoa; Arthropoda; Malacostraca; Decapoda; Penaeidae.